Lepraria neglecta is the source of this 80-nucleotide non-coding RNA. Lineage: Eukaryota; Fungi; Ascomycota; Lecanoromycetes; Lecanorales; Stereocaulaceae. The record is from the annotation of a GenBank genome assembly.
GGUGGUGUGGUGUAAUGGUAGCACGUAACGUUGUGGUCAACGAUUCCGUUCCGAUCCCGGUUCGAUUCCGGGCACCGCCA